This is a long non-coding RNA of Bos taurus (domestic cattle), 672 nucleotides long. The record is from Ensembl. NCBI's taxonomy places the organism in Eukaryota, Metazoa, Chordata, Mammalia, Artiodactyla, Bovidae.
AGGAAAUCAAUCCUGAAUCUUCAUUGGAAGGACUGAUGCUGAAGCUGAAACUCCAAUACUUUGGCCACCUGAUGCAAAGAACUGACUCAUUAGAAAAGACCCUGGUCCUGGGAAAGAUUGAAGGGUCUUGAUUUAUCUACGUCCUCCUGUUCCCCCAUGAAGCUCAAGUGUUCCAAGGGAUGCACACCCUCCUUCAACUCUGAAUGGUCCACAGAAAACCCAGUGUUGAGUGAUCAGUAAGUGGUCUACGGAUAGGCCUUGGAAAUCACUGUGAAUGCUGGAGAAGACUCCUUUUCAUUGACUGAGACCACUUUACAGCUUUGUAAAUGUUCAAAGGGGUUAGCAGCAAGUCACUUCUGCAUAUUGAAAACAUCAUGAAUGCAUGGAGAACUUCCCCCUGUUCCACCUCGAAGUUCAUCCUAGCGACACAUGGCCUUUCAGAUGUGGCAUUUAUUCAUUCACUUCUGAUCCUGCAGCUGCAAUGGAGGGACGGGUGAGGCUUGGCACAUCACGUUCUUCUUGUUAAAAAAUACAGGCCCCUUCUCAACCUAGCCAGAGGAUCUUCACACAGCUCUCCUGAAGCAGACAUCUCUGAUCCACCAUGACUCUUCCCUCAGGCACAGGAACAAGUUUCCUUCUCUGUAGGUGAUCCAUGCUGCUGCUAAGUCACUU